CACACUAUCAUUAACUGAAUCCAUAGGUUAAUGAGGCGAACCGGGGGAACUGAAACAUCUAAGUACCCCGAGGAAAAGAAAUCAACCGAGAUUCCCCCAGUAGCGGCGAGCGAACGGGGAGCAGCCCAGAGCCUGAAUCAGUAUGUGUGUUAGUGGAAGCGUCUGGAAAGGCGCGCGAUACAGGGUGACAGCCCCGUACACAAAAAUGCACAUGCUGUGAGCUCGAUGAGUAGGGCGGGACACGUGGUAUCCUGUCUGAAUAUGGGGGGACCAUCCUCCAAGGCUAAAUACUCCUGACUGACCGAUAGUGAACCAGUACCGUGAGGGAAAGGCGAAAAGAACCCCGGCGAGGGGAGUGAAAAAGAACCUGAAACCGUGUACGUACAAGCAGUGGGAGCACGCUUAGGCGUGUGACUGCGUACCUUUUGUAUAAUGGGUCAGCGACUUAUAUUCUGUAGCAAGGUUAACCGAAUAGGGGAGCCGAAGGGAAACCGAGUCUUAACUGGGCGUUAAGUUGCAGGGUAUAGACCCGAAACCCGGUGAUCUAGCCAUGGGCAGGUUGAAGGUUGGGUAACACUAACUGGAGGACCGAACCGACUAAUGUUGAAAAAUUAGCGGAUGACUUGUGGCUGGGGGUGAAAGGCCAAUCAAACCGGGAGAUAGCUGGUUCUCCCCGAAAGCUAUUUAGGUAGCGCCUCGUGAAUUCAUCUCCGGGGGUAGAGCACUGUUUCGGCAAGGGGGUCAUCCCGACUUACCAACCCGAUGCAAACUGCGAAUACCGGAGAAUGUUAUCACGGGAGACACACGGCGGGUGCUAACGUCCGUCGUGAAGAGGGAAACAACCCAGACCGCCAGCUAAGGUCCCAAAGUCAUGGUUAAGUGGGAAACGAUGUGGGAAGGCCCAGACAGCCAGGAUGUUGGCUUAGAAGCAGCCAUCAUUUAAAGAAAGCGUAAUAGCUCACUGGUCGAGUCGGCCUGCGCGGAAGAUGUAACGGGGCUAAACCAUGCAC
RNAcentral lists this ribosomal RNA (1010 nucleotides) under Escherichia coli. RNAcentral describes it as "partial 23S ribosomal RNA". It matches the Rfam family "Bacterial large subunit ribosomal RNA", at positions 144 to 1194 of the family's 2925-position model. The record is from RNAcentral. Lineage: Bacteria; Pseudomonadati; Pseudomonadota; Gammaproteobacteria; Enterobacterales; Enterobacteriaceae.